ACAUAAUAAUGCUAAUACAUAUAUGCGUAGUGCAAUGUAUAUACAUCAAAUGAAUAUAUAUAACAUAAAAAUACAUUAAUAAAAAACAAUAAUAUUAAACUAUUAAUAAUACUGUAUAACAUAUAUACAUAAGUAUUAAAUAAAGGUGGGACGAAAUUGGGUUGAAAGCAGAAUCUUAGUGUAAGGCCCAAAUUAUGCCCGGGCCCAGACCACAAGAAUAAACCAAGAAAAAACAAAAAUAAUUAACGGCCCAUCUAAUGUCCAUUUACAGUUCAAAUCAUUACAAUGUCCACAAGUCCACUUACAAUAUUAAACAACCCCAAACCCAGCUGCAUAACCCAAGACCCAAUUAAGAUCCAAUAGCUAAAACCCUAACCCAAAACCCGGACGGCCCAAUAGGCCCAAUGCCUAAAACAAGAGUCAAGGCAACAAACCCUAGCCCCAUUCGCUCAGCGCCGCAACGACCCCAGCCCCAGCAGCCUCCGUACACAGUACGCCGUACUCCUCCACGCCAAGCUGCGCCAACUGGCCUCCGUACCUGCAAAGAAACAGACAAACACAACAGCAAGGACAAGCAAAAACAAAAAGUAGCAGUAGAGAAAAAUAACAGAAAAUGAAAUUAUUUGUAUUUUUUCUUCUGAUUUUCGGCUAUAUAAAAGCCUUAUUUUCAUUGUAGGUGGAGAGAAUAGAUACUCAUAUUGAAUAGAGAGUUCAAAAGCAAUUUUUUGGGAAGGUGAUUUUCGAUUUAAAUCUCUGUGUAUUUUUUUUGUUUGUUUUUCAUUCUUUUGGGUUCAUAGUUUUAAUGUUUGAAAGAAAAUAAAAAGAGGAGAAAGAAGUUCUUACCUGGAAAAUAUGCCAUAAACCUCCUUUUUGCUUUGUUUGAAUCGAAGCCAAGAAGAGAUUUGAAGGCUGAAAGAUCAUUCCCCAUGCUUGAAUAUGUAGCUUAGUGUUUGAGAGAGGGAGAGAAUCGGCCAAAUGAGGGGAAAGUAUGGGGUAUUAGGUUUUCUGCCUUAAUUGUGGCUUGAAGAAAUGGCAAUUGCCAUUCAAUUUCCUGCCACUUUGAAAUAAAUUGAAACGGUGGUGUUUAAGGGUGGGGGCCACGUGUUGACUUAUGUCAUGACUCAAUUUGUGCAUUUGUAUGCCAAAUGGGAAAUUUCCACGAUUAAUCCCUCGCUUUUUGCACCAAAUUUCAGCAGACCCCAUUGGCACCCAUGUGUUUUAUUUUAAUUUUUCCCCAAAAAUUUGUACACUAUUUCAUUUUAGUUCGCUCCAAGGUGUUGCGUUUCGGGGGGUCCGGAUUAUUUUCAUUUAGUCCCUGCGCAUUCGCACUUGUUACAAGCUGACCCCUUUGUCAUUUUGGCAGUUGUUUCCAUUUAUACUUUGUCCCUCUUGUUUUAAUUCUCUUUUAAUUGAGACCCUCCUCUUUAUUUAUUCAUUUUAUGGCUUAUUAUCAUUUUUUUAAGAUGCAUUCAAUAUUUUUUUUAUCCUUGUUUACUUAUUUUUCUUUAUAUAUUUUAAUGAUUUGAUUUCGUCUUUUUUUUACAUACACUACUGUGUAUACAUAUAUACUUUAUAUUAAAUUCAUUUUUCUUUAUUUCAUAUAUAUAUAUUAACCUUAUAUUAUUUAUACAUAUGGCUUCUUUUUUUAGUUUAUUCUUAUAUUUUAUUAUGUAGUUCAACGUAAUAUAUCUCUUAAAUUAUUAUCAUACAUAUGUACAUAUUUAAGUUCUAGCCAUUUUUCCAUAUUAAUUUAAAAUUUGUCGUAUCAUUCACUUUUAAAUUAUUUUAUUAUUAAUCUAAGGUUUUCAUAUAUUAUUUAUUUUAGAUACAUACUACUUGUUUUGUGUUGUUACAUAUUUUCCCAUUUUAAAACUUGAUGUAUCCUUAAAAUCGUUUUAUCAUUCAUUUAAAAAAAAUUCAUAUAUUUUUAUAUACAUAUUUAUAUUUUAUCCUCAUAUUCGAUCCUUUUAUAUAUAUGCUGUAUAUGUCAUUUAAAUUAUUAUUAUUUUUAUGUAUAUGGUCAUUUUUAACUAGAUACUCUUUUAAAAAAAAAACAUACUUUGUACAUAUGAGCAUAUUUUUUUAUAUAUUAAAGUUAACUUAUUUCGUAUAUAUAUUAUUAACCUUAUAUUAUUUUAUACACAUGAUUUCUCAAAUUUUUCUUGUAUUUCGUUAUAUAGUCCUACGUAAUAUAUCUUCUAAGUAAUCAUUAUUUAUGUAUGUAUAUUUAUUGAUACCUACAUUUGAUCUAUAUAUAUUAUUAAAUCCAUGUGUUUCAUACAUAUAGUCUUCUUUGUAUAUAUAAGCAUGUUCUUAAGUCCAUUAUACAAUUUGUUAUAAAUUUAAUUUAAGCUUGUAGGUAUUUCUAUGUCUUUACAAAUAAUUAUUUUUAAAAGUUAUUUAUGUAUAUAUGUUUUGUAAAUCUAUUUAGCGCAUUUUAUCUUGUCAUAUAUCUUUAUUAUUCUUUCAUAUUAUAUAUAUUAUUUAAAUUAUUAUGUACAUUGUCAAUUUUUAAAUGCAUUUGUGUCUAAAAUAUUUUACACGCAAUUUGAUUCAAAUUUUUAUUCUAUAAUAUAUAUUCCAAAAAUCAUAUAGCUAUCCCUAGUUUUCAUGCAAAUUUGUCAACCUAUGUAUAUAGGUCCAUUUAUUCGUUAUUAUUUUAAAACCGUUUUAUAGCACAUUGGCUUCUAAUUGCUAUGUUGUUUUUAUAUCUUGCAUUGGUUAUUUUAUUAUGCCAUGCACAUUAUCGUUGCAUUAUUCAUUGUUUUACAUUGACAUGUUAAUUAUUCUCCAUGCAUAAUGGAAGUUGAGUUAUAUUUUCAAGUUAGUCAUACUUAGUUGCUUAAAUGUUGUUAGUUGAUUAAAUAAAUUGUAUUAUCUUCAUUUCUCCAUUAUCGUAUUUUUAUGCGUACACAUAUUACCCCUUAUCAUCGUUUUCCGCCUGAUUUUUGGAAUGUGUUUUUAUAAAAUCCAAAUUUUAUGAUUAAUUUCGUCUUAUUUCGAAAUAAGUUAAUGUGUUUUAAGCUAGCUUCACAACUAUUAGGAAUUCUUUAAAACGAAAGCGAUGUUCGAUACUUGGUAAUUCGCGAAAUCGUGCCCUAACGUGUUGGGUUGCAAUUUCUCGUUUGCUCAAAGUAAUCGAAGGUCCCUUUAGAAUUUCACUCGUGUCUUCUAAAAAUCCUUUAAAACGAAGGCAAUAUUCGGUGUUUAACAAUUCGGGAAUCAUGCCCUAUCAAGCUGGAUUGUGAUUUCUCGUUUGCUCAAAACAAUCUAAUAUUCCUUUAGGUUUUCAUUCAUGUUUAUUAAAAACCUUUCAAAACGAAGGCGAUGUCCGAUGUUUGGCGGUUUGAAAAUCGAGCCCUAUCAUGCUGGGUUGCGCUUUUUCAUCUGCUCAAAACAAUCGAAGACCCCUUCGAAAUUUCACUCGAGAGGCAAUGUUCAAUGUUCGGAAAUUCGAGGAAUCGUGCCCUACCGUGCUAGGUUUCGGUUUUUCGUGGGACCAAAUAACUGGGCAUCCUUUUGUUAAUUUCAAAUUAUAAAUUUUCGGACGUCGAAACAAAAAGAUUUUUGACAAUCAACUCAGGUUAUUCAACAUUUAUUAAAAAGAGCCACAUUCCAAAAACAUUUUUUUAGACAUAAGGACAGUAUUUAAUUGAUUUGGUACCAAUUUUAGGCGUAGUGAGGGUGCCAAUCCUUCCUCAUGCGUAACCGAAUCCCGAGCCCGUUUUCUAAAAUUUUCAUAGACCAGAGUCGUUGUUCUAGUAAAUCGUAAAUGUUUUAUUAAAAUAACCAAAUUCUUAGGUGAUCCGAUCACACCCAAAACAAAAAGAUCGGUGGCGACUCCUUUAUUCCUGUUUUUUUCAAAAGUCGAUUCCCCCAUUUUUCAUUAAAUUUAAAAUUGUAAAAUUCGAAAAUGGGAUGGUUUCGACAGCUUGGCGACUCCACUGGGGAAUAGAGAGAGUCUAACCAUAAAUUUGAUUAUUUGUUGCCCUUUUGUCAGAAAUUGAAAAUUUGUUUUUUGCAUUCGAUUAUAUGAUCGUUUUGAUGUGGGUCUAGUAGAAUGAUGUUGCAUUGCAUUACAUGACCGCUGUGGUUACACCUUCUAAGUGGGAGUAAGAAACUACGCUUUUGUGAGGUUUUCACCUCCGCAUGGGCUAGUGGAUUGCUUCCGGGGUACAUCCGUACCUAUGAUUUCGUGAGAUUUUCAUCUUCGCAUAGUCAUAGGGAAAUGUAUCCCCUCGAACCGAACUCGAUCUACAUGAGCCUAUAAUGAGUGAGGAUCGAGGAAUCUGCUGGUUCGGGUACCCUUACUCUAGAACCAAGCAACAUAUAGAGAGACCUAGGAGCUUACCCUAGGUAGAGCCACUCCGAACCCCUAGCGAUCACCCGAUUAGGUACUUUGUUGGUUGUUUAUUUCUAUACUAACGUGUUUUAUUUGUUCAUGAUUGCAUUGUAUUACAUCAUCAUAGAAAGGAGGUGUUGAUUCAUAUUCAAUUGCUAAAUAGAACAAUUUGUCAUAAGAAAACAAAUUUCUUAAUAACGCGGAUUACAAUACGGUUGUCCGAAUUUGGUCCAAGUGAACACGACAGAAGAAGGCUAACAGUUCGUGGAGGAAAACAAAACUUUACCUAAGGAUUCAAGCUGAUAAAGAUUAUCCAAAAGCCAUCGCAUCCCGACUUUCUUAAAGGAGCUAAUUAACAUUGCGAUGAUAGUAAUUCGUGGCCUGGAUCAAGUAAAAUGAGCCAGUAGAGGCAUGCAUUGGAAGCUUGCGAGAUUUGACUUUCACGAAGAAAGGGGAUCAGUGCCUUAGUCUCGAAUAUGAAAGCAAGGCCGUAUACGUAAUUCGUUUUAUGAAAAAGAAUUUGUUUUAUAGAAAAGUUGUUCUAGGGGAAUUGAAUUCAAAAUCAACAUCUUCUUUUCCUUUGCAUUCAUCCCAUGCAUUUACAUUGCAUUGCAUCAUUUGCAUUGCAUUGUAUUGCAUCAUUUGCAUUAAAUUUCCCAAAAGGACCCUAAUUAGGUAAAGUUAUUUCAGAACCGACAAAAGAUAUGGACCAAAGGUUUGAGAGAAUGGAGCAAAGGCAAAUACAGAUGCAAGAGCAGUUGAUCGAAAUUCAACAAGAUAUGCGAGAAAUGCUAGAACUCCAAAGAAAUAUGAUGGGCCAGGUAACCCAUUUACUGGCCGGAAAAUUCAAAAAAAGGAAUGGCCCAGUGGUCAAUGGUGGGGAUGAUAUUGAAGAGAUCAUUUACUCCCCAGGCUUUACCCUAAUAAGCGUCCCGACCCAACCAGACAUGCAAGGGGUACCCGCUGUUAUCGGACACCAAUAUCAGACGGAUACAUCAACACUGAUGAGUUUCUCGAUGGGUUCAAGUUUUAACCCGAAAGAUGAUCAAGCCAAGCCAGUUGCUCUGGCAGAAACAAAAGUAAAGGGAGAGCGGACUUUAACGGCCCCGAAAAAGAAAGAAAAGAAGGCAAAUAGUACGAGUAGGUAUAACAAGGGUCGUUCGGAGCCGAUUAUAGCAGGCCGGCCAAGGUCAGUAGCUACCAGCCAUCAGGCCCCCUCAAGGCAAGAACCCAAUCGAAAAUCGAACUCAGAAAAACCCCAAUACACGCCCAUUCCAAUCACAUACGGAGAGUUGUACCGUGUUCUGUUUGACACAUGUGUUGUAUCCCCUUUUUACAUAAAACCAAUACAACCUCCGUACCCUAAAUGGUAUGACGUAAGCAGCCGAUGUGAAUACCAUGCGGGAAUCACGGGGCAUUCUAUUAAAAAUUGUAUCGCUUUUAAGAAGCUAAUCGAAAAAUUUAUUAAAUUGGGUAUUGUGGAAUUUGAUGGUCCCUCUGGAGCGGGAAAUCAGUUAUCCAACCUUUCUGUUAAAUAGGCGAAUGUUAUGAGUUCCAUGCUAGAUUGGGGCACGAGAUUUAAGGGUGCAUCGAGCUCAGGACUCUAAUGCAAAGCCUGGUAUUGGGGAACCCGACCAUCAACGAUGUAUCAGAAGAGGGAACCCGGGAGUAGACUUUUCCAAGCUUCUGUCUUUACGUACUUAGGGUGUUUUGAACAAUAGGACUGUGAAAAGGAUCUUUGUAUUUUUUAGAGCUAAUCUAGAGUAAUAUUCAAAACACACUUGUUGUUUUAAGCCUUGAAGCAAUAAGAAUCCUUUUGUGAAAUAGGCUUAUAUCCAAAAUCUUUAUUUCAAUGAAAUACAUGUUUGAGUAAAUAUUCUUUUAUUCUUUCUAUUUUAUAUGUCUAUUCUUAGAUUCUUUCAUUCAUAAUCAUACCAUACAAAUAAUCAUUCAUAGAAUCAUUUAUUCUUUGAAAUAUGCCUUCGUACCUCUAACAGGUCUCCAGAUAUCAAUGACGUGAGCGACGCUGUCAUUAAUUCCGAGUCUUUUUUUUUAGCAAGAUAUGUGUCUAGAGGGAUCUCAGGACCUUGAAGAUGACAGAGAUAUUGACUUAUUUCCUGAUUUGUUAAGGACGGUAGAACAAGAUGAAAAAACUUAUUCUACUUUACAAAGGGUCAAUAGACAUUGUGAACAAUGGGUAAUGAUUCAAACCAGAGUCACCAUAGGGACAAAAUGAAUUGUCUUUGAGUUACUUCAAGAAAUUUAAAGAUGUUUUCACAUGAUCAUGUCGAGAUAUAUUUGAGAUAUUAAGAUCUGUGGAUGAUACAAAAUGUCUAUACUGUGCCAAAAGGACACAUGUUAAAGGUUUCAUGGUAGCUACGCUAAUCAUGAGGUUUAGAUAUUGUUGAUCCACCAUGGAAGAGGAUUACAUUGGUUAAAGUCACAUUCAUUUCUUCACAAAUUUUCCCUAUACGAGGCAAUGAUGUUAUCAGGCCAUUCUCAUCAAUUCAUCUUGGUAGUCACGAAGGGGGUGAGGGUCACUUCAUGUGUCAAUAAUUACAAGAUUAAUAGUCGUCAAAUUUUAAAUUUCAAAAAAAAAAAAAGAAAAAGAGAAGCGGUUGCUGACAAGUAAUGUCAAAAAGGAUUAUCUUCAAAUACAUUUGCACAAUGUCAAAAGUUUGCAAUUUGUUCAAGGAUCAGACACCAUAUUACAGUGCAAUAAAGGCAUCCAAAAAGAAAGACAAAAAGUUCAAAAAUAUAAAAAAAUGAAAAAAAAAGGAAAAGCAAACAAUAGAACAAAAGCCAUAGUGAAAAAUGACCGAGUCUUGUAAAUAUUGGCAUAAAGAAGUUAUCAUUUACCCUCUAUAUUUGUCAAACGUCUGCCAAAACCUUCGCCGGGGUAAUACAUUGUUCGAUGGAUUUUGAAAGAAAGAUUUCUUUUGGGCAAGUCUUAGCUGAAGUUGGAUUAGGCAGAAUAGAUUUAACCCCGAUAUGAUCAGUUGAAUUUGAAGAAAGGAGAUUCAAAGCCAUAUGACAUGGCCCAAUGUACCAGAAAUGAAUGAUGCAAGCUUACAUCGGAAAGGUUCUUCCUAGAGGAUUCCAUGAGGGAGACCUGGCAUUGAAAAGUUUCUUUUUACAUAAAAGGACUUCGAAGGAAAGUGAAAGGCCACAGCAAAAACCCUCAAAUGAUACUCUGAGAUCUUCAAAAAAUAAUAAAAUAAAAAAAUAAAAAAAAUAAAUAAAGAAAAGGAGAGGCCAAAGCGAAAACCCGCAAAGGGGGAUUUGAGUUGAAAACCCGAAAGGGCGGCUUAAAUUUGGAUCAAAGUGAGGCAUACAGUAGUCUUGCUAUAUCUGAAUUAACAAUAAAGAAGUAUGCUACAUAUUGGGGCAUCGACAAAGUGUCGCGGAUCCCCUAAACACAUAUUGAUAUCAGAAAUUUCCUCAAGAAGUUAGUACAGAGAAGCUCAAGCUGCGAUAUUUGGGGCACCUAGUUUCCAUUUUGCUCAUUUUGAAUUUGUUAUCUUUGAUUGCCUUAUUCUUUUCAAGAUAAAUCCCAAUAAAUUUCCUUCUUAUUGCAUCGUUAUCUUUGAUUAACCCAUUCAUGUUGAGUUAGUUGCCUUCUUGUUGCAUUUGCAAUCUUUGAUUAACUUAUUUGCUUCGAGCUGUGCUCUUACCCAAUUUCCUUCUUGUCCAUUAUUUUGAUCUUUUUCGAGCAUGUUGCAUUGAAAUAAAGAUUAAUGGACUAAUAAUAAUUUCAUAAAAGAAGUCUUGCAUAUUACUCGAGAGGCUUCUAAAUAGUACAAGAACCUGAAACAAGACUGUUGUUGAGAACCCACCAAACCUAAGGGAUGGAAAUGUUUGAGAAGGAGGAGUCUAAAUUAUGGCUAUCUUUUCGAAUUUUCUAUCAAAGGUAUCGGUUGAAUGAAGAGGCAAGAUAUUUCAUCGGUGAUACAACCUUGACAAAUGACGAGCAAUGUCAACCCAAGUGUAAAAGGGGGAUCGUUAUCAGGAAAAAAAAACGAUAUUCCGCAUUCACAUGAAUAUCAGACAUGCACACAGGGUCAUUACACCCGAAGGAUGAUCAAAUUGAUCCUAUACCCUGAGUUACAGUGGGUUGGAUAAGCAAAAACUCAAUAAAAUUUCAGUAGGGCAAGCUUGCCGAGCAGAUUGAAAGUGUUUCUUUGGGUUUUCUGUCAAGAAUACCAGCUGAAUAAGGUGGCCGCGUAAUACGUCAGUGAUAAUGUCCUGAUGAACGAGCAAUGAUACCUAGGUCUUUUUCAUUUCCAUAUCAUUCAUAACACAUCUAGUUAAAAGCAUUCGAUUCAUUUCAAUCAUAGCAUUCCAAUUAUUUGACACAAACAUCACAUCUAGUUAGGAACAAUUGAUUCAUGUUGAUCAUAGCAUCCUAAUUAUUCGGCAUAAGCAUGGGCCUAUGAGGCUAAAAUUUUAGAUAUUGUUUCCCUGAAAUUGAAGUGAAGCAGAUCGAAGACGGCGAAUCUUAGCUUCCUAAAGUUGCAGUGAAGCAGAUUUAAGCCACCAACCUAGCUCCCUAAAUUUGUAGUGGAGUAGGCUAAAAUUUCAGAUCUUGUUUCCCUGAAGUUGCAGUGAAGCAGAUCGAAGACAACGAAUCUGAGCUUCCUAAAGUUGCAGUGAAGCAGAUUUAAGCCACCAACCUAGCUCCCUAAAGUUGUAGAGGAGUAGGCUAAAAUUUCAGAUCUUGUUUCCCUGAAGUUGCAGUGAAGCAGAUCGAAGACGGCGAAUCUGAGCUUCCUGAAGUUACAGUGAAGCAGAUUUAAGCCACCAACCUAGCUCCCUAAAGUUGUAGUGGAGGAGGCUAAAAUUUUAGAUCUUGUUUCCCUGAAGUUGCAAUGAAGCAGAUCGAAGACGGUGAAUCUGAGCUUCUUGAAGUUGCAGUGAAGCAGAUUUAAGCCACCAACCUAGCUUCCUAAAGUUGUAGUGGAGUAGGCUAAAAUUUUAGAUCUUGUUUCCCUAAAGUUACAGUGAAGCAGAUCGAAGACGGCGAAUCUGAGCUUCCUGAAGUUGCAGUGAAGCAGAUUUAAGCCACCAACCUAGCUCCCUAAAGUUGUAGUGGAGUAGGCUAAAAUUUCAGAUCUCGUUUCCCUAAAGUUGCAGUGAAGCAGAUCGAAGACGGCGAAUCUGAGCUUCCUGAAGUUGCAGUGAAGCAGAUUUAAGCCACCAACCUAGCUCCCUAAAGUUGUAGUGGAGUAGGCUAAAAUUUCAGAUCUUGUUUCCCUGAAGUUGCAGUGAAACAGAUCGAAGAUGGUGAAUCUGAGCUUCCUGAAGUUACAGUGAAGCAGAUUUAAGCCACCAUCCUAGCUCCCUAAGGUUGUAGUGGAAUAGGCUGAAGAUUAUAGAUCUUGUUUCCCUGAGAUUGCAGUGGGGCAGAUCGAAGACGGCGAAUCUAGGCUUCCUGAUGUUGCAGUGAAGUAGAUUUAAGCAAGUCCUAGCUCUCUAAAGUUGUAGUGGAGUAGGCUGAAUAUUGUAGAUCUCGCCUCCCUAAAGUUGCAGUGAGGCAAAUCAAAGACGAUAAAUCUUGGCUUCCUGAAGAUGCGGCGAAGCAGAUUUAAGCAUCCUAGCUCCCUAAGGUUGUAGUGGAGUAGGCUGAAGAUUAUAGAUCUUGUUUCCCUGAGAUUGCAGUGGGGCAGAUCGAAGACGGCGAAUCUAGGCUUCCUGAUGUUGCAGUAAAUCAGAUUUAAGCAAGUCCUAGCUCUCUAAAGUUGUAGUGGAGUAGGCUGAGGAUUGUAGAUCUCGUCUCCCUGAAGUUGCAGUGAGACAAAUCAAAGACGAUAAAUCUUGGCUUCCUGAAGAUGCAGCGAAGUAGAUUUAAGCAAGUCCUAGCUCCCUAAAGUUGUAGUGAAGUGGGCUGAAGAUUGUAGGUCUUAUCUUCUCGAAGUCGCGAUAGAACAGAUCAAGUUAAUUACAGAAGAAUAGAUUAAAGCAACAAGCCUCAAGUAGCCGCAGUGGAGUAGAUCAAAGCAACAGUUCUUACACCUUUAGAAAUGCAAUGGGGCCACUUGAAGAAGAGAAGCACCAAAGAAGUAAAGAUCCUACAAGACCAGACAGAUUUGGCUUCUCUGUAAUAGCGGAGAGCAAAUCGAAUAUAGCAGAUUUGGCAUCUCUGUAGUGGCGGAGAGCAAAUCGAAGAUAGCAGAUUUGGCGUCUCUAUAUUGGCGGAGAGCAGAUCAAAAAUAGCAGAUUUGGCGUUUCUGUAUUGGCGGAGAGCAGAUCGAAGAUAGCAGAUUUGGCGUCUCUGUAUUGGCGGAGAGCAGAUCGAAGAUAGCAGAUUUGGCGUCUCUGUGUUGGCGGAGAGCAGAUCGAAGAUAGCGUCUCUGUGUUGGCGGAGAGCAGAUCGAAGAUAGCAGAUUUGGCGUCUUUGUGUUGGCGGAGAGUAGAUCGAAGAUAGCAGAUUUGGCGUCUCUGUAUUGACGGAGAGCAGAUCGAAGAUAGCAGAUUUGGCGUCUCUGUAUUGGCGGAGAGCAGAUCAAAGAUAGUAGAUUUGGCGUCUCUGUAGUGGCGGAGAGCAGAUCGAAGACAACAGAUUUGGCAUUUCUGUAGUGGCGGAGAGCAGAUCGAAGAUAACAGAUUUGCCAUCUCUGUAGUAGCGGAGAGUAGAUUGAAGAUGACAGAUUUGGCAUCUCUGUGUUGACAGAGAGCAGAUCGAAGAUGACAGAUUUGGAGUAUCUAUAUUGACAGAGAGCAGAUUGAAAAUAACAGAUUGGUGUUCCCGAGUUUUCAAGAAGCAAGUGGAAGAUAGCCAAUUGGACACUCCUGAAGACAUCAGAAUACCUUUCCGGAAGAUGAGGAUCAAGAUUUUGAGACUUAGCCAGACCGGGCAAAUUUGGUCCUUUUUAUAGUCUUUACUCCAUUCUCGUUACACGACAAUGAGCAAAGAGGGGCAGCUGCAAGGCCCAAAUUAUGCCCGGGCCCAGACCACAAGAAUAAACCAAGAAAAAACAAAAAUAAUUAACGGCCCAUCUAAUGUCCAUUUAGAGUUCAAAUCAUUACAAUGUCCACAAGUCCACUUACAAUAUUAAACAACCCCAAACCCAGCUGCAUAACCCAAGACCCAAUUAAGAUCCAAUAGCUAAAACCCUAACCCAAAACCCAGACGGCCUAAUAGGCCCAAUGCCUAAAACAAGAGUCAAGGCAGAAAACCCUAGCCCCAUUCGCUCAGCGCCGCAACGACCCCAGCCCCAGCAGCCUCCGUACACAGUACGCCGUACUCCUCCACGCCAAGCUGCGCCAACUGGCCUCCGUACCUGCAAAGAAACAGACAAACACAACAGCAAGGACAAGCAAAAACAAAAAGUAGCAGUAGAGAAAAAUAACAGAAAAUGAAAUUAUUUGUAUUUUUUCUUCUGAUUUUCGGCUAUAUAAAAGCCUUAUUUUCAUAGUAGGUGGAGAGAAUAGAUACUCAUAUUGAAUAGAGAGUUCAAAAGCAAUUUUUUGGGAAGGUGAUUUUCGAUUUAAAUCUCUGUGUAUUUUUUUUGUUUGUUUUUCAUUCUUUUGGGUUCAUAGUUUUAAUGUUUGAAAGAAAAUAAAAAGAGGAGAAAGAAGUUCUUACCUGGAAAAUAUGCCAUAAACCUCCUUUUUGCUUUGUUUGAAUCGAAGCCAAGAAGAGAUUUGAAGGCUGAAAGAUCAUUCCCCAUGCUUGAAUAUGUAGCUUAGUGUUUGAGAGAGGGAGAGAAUCGGCCAAAUGAGGGGAAAGUAUGGGGUAUUAGGUUUUCUGCCUUAAUUGUGGCUUGAAGAAAUGGCAAUUGCCAUUCAAUUUCCUGCCACUUUGAAAUAAAUUGAAACGGUGGUGUUUAAGGGUGGGGGCCACGUGUUGACUUAUGUCAUGACUCAAUUUGUGCAUUUGUAUGCCAAAUGGGAAAUUUCCACGAUUAAUCCCUCGCUUUUUGCACCAAAUUUCAGCAGACCCCAUUGGCACCCAUGUGUUUUAUUUUAAUUUUUCCCCAAAAAUUUGUACACUAUUUCAUUUUAGUUCGCUCCAAGGUGUUGCGUUUCGGGGGGUCCGGAUUAUUUUCAUUUAGUCCCUGCGCAUUCGCACUUGUUACAAGCUGACCCCUUUGUCAUUUUGGCAGUUGUUUCCAUUUAUACUUUGUCCCUCUUGUUUUAAUUCUCUUUUAAUUGAGACCCUCCUCUUUAUUUAUUCAUUUUAUGGCUUAUUAUCAUUUUUUUAAGAUGCAUUCAAUAUUUUUUUUAUCCUUGUUUACUUAUUUUUCUUUAUAUAUUUUAAUGAUUUGAUUUCGUCUUUUUUUUACAUACACUACUGUGUAUACAUAUAUACUUUAUAUUAAAUUCAUUUU
RNAcentral lists this long non-coding RNA (12672 nucleotides) under Gossypium barbadense (sea-island cotton). Its description in RNAcentral is "long non-coding RNA (GBAR_LNC012959)". Lineage: Eukaryota; Viridiplantae; Streptophyta; Magnoliopsida; Malvales; Malvaceae. The record is from RNAcentral.